Molecule: ribosomal RNA, 912 nt
Filed under: uncultured archaeon
Lineage: Archaea
Description: bacterial SSU rRNA
Rfam family: Archaeal small subunit ribosomal RNA
Source: RNAcentral
UUUUCCGGUUGAUCCUGCCGGACCCGACUGCCAUUUGGGUGAGGAUAAGCCAUGCGAGUUGAAUGGGAUACCUAAAGUUCCCAUGGCAAACUGCUCAGUAACACAUGAUCAACUUGCCCUAUAGAGAAAACUAACCUCGGGAAACUGAGGAUAAUGUUUCAUAACUGAAUUGGCUUGGAAAAGUUUUUCAGUAAAAGGGAUAAAAAAAAUGGUUUUUAUCUGCUAUAGGAUAGGAUCGUGCUCGAUUAUGGUUGUUGGUGAGGUAAUGGCUCACCAAGCCGAUAAUCGAUAGGGGCCGUGAGAGCGGGAGCCCCGAGAUGGGUACUGAGACAACGACCCAGGCCUUACGAGGCGCAGCAGGCGCGAAACCUCCGCAAUACACGAAAGUGUGACGGGGUUACCCAAAGUGUUCAAUUUUGAACUGUGGUAGGUGAGUAAUGUUCCCUACUAGAAAGGAGAGGGCAAGGCUGGUGCCAGCCGCCGCGGUAAAACCAGCUCUUCAAGUGGUCGGGAUAAUUAUUGGGCUUAAAGUGUCCGUAGCCGGUUUAGUAAGUUCCUGGUAAAAUCGGGUAGCUUAACUAUCUAUAUGCUAGGAAUACUGCUAUACUAGAGAGCGGGAGAGGUCUGAGGUACUACAGGGGUAGGGGUGAAAUCUUAUAAUCCUUGUAGGACCACCAGUGGCGAAGGCGUCAGACUGGAACGCGCCUGACGGUGAGGGACGAAAGCCAGGGGAGCGAACCGGAUUAGAUACCCGGGUAGUCCUGGCCGUAAACGAUGCAUACUAGGUGAUGGCACGGCCAUGAGCCGUGUCAGUGCCGUAGGGAAACCGUUAAUGUGCCGCCUGGGAAGUACGGUCGCAAGGCUAAAACUUAAAGGAAUUGGGCGGGGGAGCACCAACAAAAGGGAACCGCU